This 447-nucleotide ribosomal RNA is filed under the name uncultured bacterium. RNAcentral describes it as "bacterial SSU rRNA". It matches the Rfam family "Bacterial small subunit ribosomal RNA", at positions 328 to 792 of the family's 1533-position model. The record is from RNAcentral.
GUCCCAGACUCCUACGGGAGGCAGCAGUGGGGAAUAUUGCACAAUGGGGGAAACCCUGAUGCAGCGACGCCGCGUGAGUGAAGAAGUAAUUCGUUAUGUAAAGCUCUAUCAGCAGGGAAGAAAAUGACGGUACCUGAGUAAGAAGCCCCGGCUAACUACGUGCCAGCAGCCGCGGUAAUACGCAGGGGGCAAGCGUUAUCCGGAUUUACUGGGUGUAAAGGGAGCGUAGACGGCAGUGCAAGUCCGGAGUGAAAGCCCGGGGCUCAACCCUGGGACUGCUCUGGAAACUGUAAAGCUGGAGUGCGGGAGGGGCAGGCGGAAUUCCUGGUGUAGCGGUGAAAUGCGUAGAUAUCAGGAGGAACACCGGCGGCGAAGGCGGCCUGCUGGACCGUAACUGACGUUGAGGCUCGAAAGCGUGGGGAGCAAACAGGAUUAGAUACCCUGGUA